RNAcentral lists this ribosomal RNA (468 nucleotides) under uncultured bacterium. Its description in RNAcentral is "partial 16S ribosomal RNA". It matches the Rfam family "Bacterial small subunit ribosomal RNA", at positions 28 to 507 of the family's 1533-position model. The record is from RNAcentral.
GACGAACGCUGGCGGCGUGCUUAACACAUGCAAGUCGAACGGAGAGGCCCUGCUUUUGUGGGGUGCUCGAGUGGUGAACGGGUGAGUAACACGUGAGUAACCUGCCCUUGACUUUGGGAUAACUUCAGGAAACUGGGGCUAAUACCGGAUAGGAGCUCCUGCUGCAUGGUGGGGGUUGGAAAGUUUCGGCGGUUGGGGAUGGACUCGCGGCUUAUCAGCUUGUUGGUGGGGUAGUGGCUUACCAAGGCUUUGACGGGUAGCCGGCCUGAGAGGGUGACCGGCCACAUUGGGACUGAGAUACGGCCCAGACUCCUACGGGAGGCAGCAGUGGGGAAUAUUGCACAAUGGGCGGAAGCCUGAUGCAGCAACGCCGCGUGCGGGAUGACGGCCUUCGGGUUGUAAACCGCUUUCGCCUGUGACGAAGCGUGAGUGACGGUAAUGGGUAAAGAAGCACCGGCUAACUACGUG